AACGAACGCUGGCGGCAUGCCUAACACAUGCAAGUCGAACGAGACCUUCGGGUCUAGUGGCGCACGGGUGCGUAACGCGUGGGAACCUGCCCUUAGGUUCCGAAUAACUCCCCGUAGGGGGUGCUAAUACCGGUUAAUGUCUUCGGACCAAAGAUUUAUCGCCUUGGGAUGGGCCCGCGUUGGAUUAGCUAGUUGGUAGGGUAAAAGCCUACCAAGGCGACGAUCCAUAGCUGGUCUGAGACGAGGAUCAGCGGCACUGGGACUGGGACACGGCCCAGACGCGUGCGAGAAGUAGCAGAGGGGACAAUAUGAGAGUGAGCGAGAGCCUGAUCCAGCGCGGCCGCGAUAGUGAUGAAGGCCUUAGAGUGGUAAAGCUCUUUUACCCGAGAGGAUAAUGACAGUACCGGGAGAAUAAGCUCCGGCUAACACCGU
This 432-nucleotide ribosomal RNA is filed under the name uncultured bacterium. Its description in RNAcentral is "partial 16S ribosomal RNA". It matches the Rfam family "Bacterial small subunit ribosomal RNA", at positions 29 to 506 of the family's 1533-position model. The record is from RNAcentral.